CUGACCUUAAACGAUGCCAACUGGCGAUCCGUCAGGGGUAAUUCCAUGACCUGACGGGCAGCUUCCGGGAAACCAAAGUUUUUGGGUUCCGGGGGAAGUAUGGUUGCAAAGCUGGAACUUAAAGGAAUUGACGGAAGGGCACCACCAGGAGUGGAGCCUGUGGCUUAAUUUGACUCAACACGGGAAACCUCACCAGGCCCAGACACUAGAAGGAUUGACAGAUUGAGAGCUCUUUCUUGAUUUGGUGGGUGGUGGUGCAUGGCCGUUCUUAGUUGGUGGAGUGAUUUGUCUGGUUAAUUCCGAUAACGAACGAGACUCUGGCCUACUAAAUAGACGGUGGAUCUUUGCGUCCACUCUGUCUUCUUAGAGGGACAAGGCAGCUCUAAGCUGCGUGAAAUGGGGCAAUAACAGGUCUGUGAUGCCCUUAGAUGUUCUGGGCCGCACACGCGCUACACUGAAGGAGGCAACGUGUUUGUCUGGCUCGAAAGGGUCGGGUAACCCGUUUAAUCUCCUUCGUGCUGGGGAUUGAGGUUUGCAAUUGUCCUUCAUGAACGAGGAAUUCCCAGUAAGUGCAAGUCAUAAGCUUGCGCUGACUACGUCCCUGCCCUUUGUACACACCGCCCGUCGCUACUACCGAUUGAAUGAUUUAGUGAGGACUUCGGACUGAGGCCGAUGCGACUUUCGGGUUGCGUCGGUAUUUCGGAAAGAUGUCCAAACUGUAUCAUUUAGAGGAAGUAAAAGUCGUAACAAGGUUUCCGUAGGUGAAC
Molecule: ribosomal RNA, 767 nt
Filed under: Cyprinotus sp. Korea
Lineage: Eukaryota; Metazoa; Arthropoda; Ostracoda; Podocopida; Cyprididae
Description: SSU rRNA
Rfam family: Eukaryotic small subunit ribosomal RNA
Source: RNAcentral